Molecule: ribosomal RNA, 497 nt
Filed under: uncultured bacterium
Lineage: Bacteria
Description: partial 16S ribosomal RNA
Rfam family: Bacterial small subunit ribosomal RNA
Source: RNAcentral
GAUGAACGCUGGCGGCGUGCCUAAUACAUGCAAGUCGAGCGAACAGACGAGGAGCUUGCUCCUCUGACGUUAGCGGCGGACGGGUGAGUAACACGUGGAUAACCUACCUAUAAGACUGGGAUAACUUCGGGAAACCGGAGCUAAUACCGGAUAAUAUAUUGAACCGCAUGGUUCAAUAGUGAAAGACGGUUUUGCUGUCACUUAUAGAUGGAUCCGCGCCGCAUUAGCUAGUUGGUAAGGUAACGGCUUACCAAGGCAACGAUGCGUAGCCGACCUGAGAGGAUGACAGGAAACAGUGGAAAGCAGAAAAGGGGGAGACUGCGACGGUAGGAAGCGAAGGGGAAUAUGCGGGAAUGGGCGAAAGCGGGAGGGAGAAACGGUGCGUGAGUGAUGAAGGUGUUCGGAUCGUAAAAAACAAUUAUUAGAGAAGAAAAAAUGUGUAAGGAAGUAUGCAAGUAAGGAAGGUACCGAAUCAGAAGGCCAAGGCGAACGACGUG